This 316-nucleotide ribosomal RNA is filed under the name uncultured delta proteobacterium. RNAcentral's name for it is "bacterial SSU rRNA". It matches the Rfam family "Bacterial small subunit ribosomal RNA", at positions 225 to 524 of the family's 1533-position model. Lineage: Bacteria; Deltaproteobacteria. The record is from RNAcentral.
UGAAGCCUGCGUUUCAUUAGCUAGCAUGGAUAGGAGCUAAUGGCCUACCAAGGCAACGAUGAGUAACUGCGCCUCUGUAGAGGAUGAUCAGUCACACUGGAACUGAAACACGGUCCAGACUCCUACGGGAGGCAGCAGUGGGGAAUAUUGCGCAAUGGGCGAAAGCCUGACGCAGCAACGCCGUGUGAGGGAUGAAGGCUUUCGGGUCGUAAACCUCUGUCAGAAGGGAAGAACGGGUAUUGGUCUAAUAGGCCUUUAUUUUGACGGUACCUUCAGAGGAAGCACCGGCUAACUCCGUGCCAGCAGCCGCGGUAAC